AUUGAACGCUGGCGGCAGGCCUAACACAUGCAAGUCGAGCGGAUGAAGGGAGCUUGCUCCUGGAUUCAGCGGCGGACGGGUGAGUAAUGCCUAGGAAUCUGCCUGGUAGUGGGGGAUAACGUCCGGAAACGGGCGCUAAUACCGCAUACGUCCUGAGGCAGAAAGUGGGGGAUCUUCGGACCUCACGCUCUCAGAUGAGCCUAGGUCGGAUUAGCUAGUUGGUUGGGUAAAGGCCUACCAAGGCGACGAUCCGUAACUGGUCUGAGAGGAUGAUCAGUCACACGGGAACUGAGACACGGUCCAGACUCCUACGGGAGGCAGCAGUGGGGAAUAUUGGACAAUGGGCGAAAGCCUGAUCCAGCCAGGCCGCGUGUGUGAAGAAGGUCUUCGGAGUGUAAAGCACUUUAAGUUGGGAGGAAGGGCAGUAAGUUAAUACCUUGCUGUUUUGACGUUACCAACAGAAUAAGCACCGGCUAACUUCGUG
This 484-nucleotide ribosomal RNA is filed under the name uncultured bacterium. RNAcentral's name for it is "partial 16S ribosomal RNA". It matches the Rfam family "Bacterial small subunit ribosomal RNA", at positions 30 to 507 of the family's 1533-position model. The record is from RNAcentral.